UGCCAGCCGCCGCGGUAAUACGGAGGGGGCAAGCGUUAUUCGGAAUUACUGGGCGUAAAGGGCGUGUAGGCGGCCUGACAAGUCAAAGGUGAAAGCCCUCGGCUCAACCGAGGAACUGCCUUUGAAACUGUUGGGCUAGAGACUGGGAGGGGGUAGUGGAAUUCCUGGUGUAGCGGUGAAAUGCGUAGAUAUCAGGAGGAACACCGGUGGCGAAGGCGGCUACCUGGACCAUCACUGACGCUGAGGUGCGAAAGCCAGGGUAGCAAACGGGAUUAGAUA
This 279-nucleotide ribosomal RNA is filed under the name uncultured bacterium. Its description in RNAcentral is "partial 16S ribosomal RNA". It matches the Rfam family "Bacterial small subunit ribosomal RNA", at positions 506 to 784 of the family's 1533-position model. The record is from RNAcentral.